AACGAACGCUGGCGGCAGGCCUAACACAUGCAAGUCGAGCGCACCUUCGGGUGAGCGGCGGACGGGUUAGUAACGCGUGGGAAUAUGCCCUUCACUACGGAAUAGCCUCGGGAAACUGAGAGUAAUACCGUAUACGCCCUUCGGGGGAAAGAUUUAUCGGUGAAGGAUUAGCCCGCGUCUGAUUAGGUAGUUGGUGGGGUAAUGGCCUACCAAGUCUACGAUCAGUAGCUGGUUUGAGAGGAUGAUCAGCAACACUGGGACUGAGACACGGCCCAGACUCCUACGGGAGGCAGCAGUGGGGAAUCUUAGACAAUGGGCGCAAGCCUGAUCUAGCCAUGCCGCGUGAGUGACGAAGGCCUUAGGGUCGUAAAGCUCUUUCGCCAGAGAUGAUAAUGACAGUAUCUGGUAAAGAAACCCCGGCUAACUCCGUGCCAGCAGCCGCGGUAAUACGGAGGGGGUUAGCGUUGUUCGGAAUUACUGGGCGUAAAGCGUACGUAGGCGGAUUGGAAAGUUGGGGGUGAAAUCCCGGGGCUCAACCCCGGAACUGCCUCCAAAACUAUCAGUCUAGAGUUCGAGAGAGGUGAGUGGAAUUCCAAGUGUAGAGGUGAAAUUCGUAGAUAUUUGGAGGAACACCAGUGGCGAAGGCGGCUCACUGGCUCGAUACUGACGCUGAGGUACGAAAGUGUGGGGAGCAAACAGGAUUAGAUACCCUGGUAGUCCACACCGUAAACGAUGAAUGCCAGACGUCGGGGGGCUUGCCCUUCGGUGUCACUCCUAACGGAUUAAGCAUUCCGCCUGGGGAGUACGGUCGCAAGAUUA
RNAcentral lists this ribosomal RNA (819 nucleotides) under uncultured bacterium. Its description in RNAcentral is "bacterial SSU rRNA". It matches the Rfam family "Bacterial small subunit ribosomal RNA", at positions 28 to 896 of the family's 1533-position model. The record is from RNAcentral.